This 22-nucleotide microRNA is filed under the name Pan troglodytes (chimpanzee). RNAcentral describes it as "ptr-miR-1255b". RNAcentral also lists the same sequence under 1 other name. Lineage: Eukaryota; Metazoa; Chordata; Mammalia; Primates; Hominidae. The record is from miRBase by way of RNAcentral.
CGGAUGAGCAAAGAAAGUGGUU